CACGCCGUAAACGAUGGGUACUAGGUGUUGCGGGAAUUGACCCCUGCAGUGCCGUAGCUAACGCAUUAAGUACCCCGCCUGGGAAGUACGGUCGCAAGAUUAAAACUCAAAGGAAUUGACGGGGGCCCGCACAAGCGGUGGAGCAUGUGGUUUAAUUCGAUGCAACGCGAAAAACCUUACCUGGGUUUGACAUCCCUUGACAGUCCUAGAGAUAGGAUUUCCUCUUCGGAGGCAAGGAGACAGGUGC
RNAcentral lists this ribosomal RNA (247 nucleotides) under uncultured Desulfuromonadales bacterium. RNAcentral describes it as "partial 16S ribosomal RNA". It matches the Rfam family "Bacterial small subunit ribosomal RNA", at positions 796 to 1041 of the family's 1533-position model. The record is from RNAcentral. Lineage: Bacteria; Pseudomonadati; Thermodesulfobacteriota; Desulfuromonadia; Desulfuromonadales.